CCCCACUGCUAUCGGGAUGGGACUAAGACAUGCUAGUCGAGCGUCUCCAAGCUAUGGAAGAGACGCGGCACACAGCUCAGUAACACGUGGCUAACCUGCCCUUGGGACAAGGACAACUCCGGGAAACUGGGGCUAAUCCCUGAUAAGUGAGAACUCCUGGAAUGGAUUCUCGCUCAAAGGGCGUUUAGACCAUGCUUCUAGGCGUCGCCCAAGGAGGGGGCCGCGACCGAUCAGGUUGUUGGUGAGGUAACGGCUCACCAAGCCUUUAACCGGUACGGGCCGUGAGAGCGGAAGCCCGGAGAUGGGCACUGAGACAAGGGCCCAGGCCCUACGGGGCGCAGCAGUCGCGAAAACUCCGCAAUACACGAAAGUGUGACGGGGCCAUCCCGAGUGCCAUCCGCUGAGGAUGGCUUUUCCCCAGUGUAUAAAGCUGGGGGAAUAAGGAGAGGGCAAGCCUGGUGUCAGCCGCCGCGGUAAUACCAGCUCUCCGAGUGGUGGGGAUGUUUAUUGGGCCUAAAGCAUUCGUAGCCUGCUUGGCAAGUCCUCCGUUAAAUCCAACGAUUCAAUCGUUGGGCUGCGGGGGAUACUGUCCGGCUAGGGGGCGGGAGAGGCCGACGGUAUCCUCGGGGUAGGGGUGAAAUCCUAUAAUCCCGGGAGGACCACCAGUGGCGAAGGCUGUCGGCUAGAACGCGCUCGACGGUGAGGGAUGAAAGCUGGGGGAGCGAACCGGAUUAGAUACCCGGGUAGUCCCAGCUGUAAACGAUGCAGGCUAGGUGUUGGCGCGGCUACGUGCCGCUCCAGUGCCGCAGGGAAGCCGUUAAGCCUGCCGCCUGGGAAGUACGGCCGCAAGGCUGAAACUUAAAGGAAUUGGCGGGGGAGCACCACAAGGUGUGAAGCUUGCGGUUU
RNAcentral lists this ribosomal RNA (906 nucleotides) under uncultured archaeon. Its description in RNAcentral is "bacterial SSU rRNA". It matches the Rfam family "Archaeal small subunit ribosomal RNA", at positions 21 to 903 of the family's 1478-position model. The record is from RNAcentral.